Molecule: ribosomal RNA, 625 nt
Filed under: uncultured bacterium
Lineage: Bacteria
Description: bacterial SSU rRNA
Rfam family: Bacterial small subunit ribosomal RNA
Source: RNAcentral
CCUACGGGAGGCAGCAGUGGGGAAGUUUUGGUACAAUGGGCGGCAAGCCUGAUCCAGCAAUGCCGCGUGAGUGAAGAAGGCCUUCGGGUUGUAAAGCUCUUUUGUUCAGGGAAGAAACGGUGAGGGCUAAUAUCCUUCACUAAUGACGGUACCUGAAGAAUAAGCACCGGCUAACUACGUGCCAGCAGCCGCGGUAAUACGUAGGGUGCAAGCGUUAAUCGGAAUUACUGGGCGUAAAGCGUGCGCAGGCGGUUUUUGUAAGUUUGUCGUGAAAUCCCCGGGCUCAACCUGGGAAUGGCGAUGAAGACUGCAAGGCUAGAAUCUGGCAGAGGGGGGUUAGAAUUCCACGUGUAGCAGUGAAAUGCGUAGAGAUGUGGAGGAACACCGAUGGCGAAGGCAGCCCCCUGGGUCAAGAUUGACGCUCAUGCACGAAAGCGUGGGGAGCAAACAGGAUUAGAUACCCUGGUAGUCCACGCCCUAAACGAUGUCUACUAGUUGUCGGGUUUUUAAUUAACUUGGUAACGCAGCUAACGCGUGAAGUAGACCGCCUUGGGGAGUACGGUCGCAAGAUUAAAACCUUAAGGAAUUGACGGCUGNGAGNGCGACGACGACGACGAGGAGGAGG